Molecule: transfer RNA, 85 nt
Filed under: Felis catus (domestic cat)
Lineage: Eukaryota; Metazoa; Chordata; Mammalia; Carnivora; Felidae
Rfam family: tRNA
About the family: Transfer RNA (tRNA) molecules are approximately 80 nucleotides in length. Their secondary structure includes four short double-helical elements and three loops (D, anti-codon, and T loops).
Source: Rfam by way of RNAcentral
GCCUGGAUGGCUCAGUUGGUUGAGUGUCUGACUUUGGCUCAGGUCAUGAUCUCACGGUCUGUGGGUUUGAGUCCCACAUUGGUCU